RNAcentral lists this ribosomal RNA (450 nucleotides) under uncultured bacterium. RNAcentral describes it as "partial 16S ribosomal RNA". It matches the Rfam family "Bacterial small subunit ribosomal RNA", at positions 354 to 796 of the family's 1533-position model. The record is from RNAcentral.
GUGGGGAAUUUUGGACAAUGGGCGCAAGCCUGAUCCAGCAAUGCCGCGUGCAGGAAGAAGGCCUUCGGGUUGUAAACUGCUUUUGUACGGAACGAAAAGGCUCUGGUUAAUACCUGGGGCACAUGACGGUACCGUAAGAAUAAGCACCGGCUAACUACGUGCCAGCAGCCGCGGUAAUACGUAGGGUGCAAGCGUUAAUCGGAAUUACUGGGCGUAAAGCGUGCGCAGGCGGUUUUGUAAGACAGGCGUGAAAUCCCCGGGCUCAACCUGGGAAUUGCGCUUGUGACUGCAAGGCUGGAGUGCGGCAGAGGGGGAUGGAAUUCCGCGUGUAGCAGUGAAAUGCGUAGAUAUGCGGAGGAACACCGAUGGCGAAGGCAAUCCCCUGGGCCUGCACUGACGCUCAUGCACGAAAGCGUGGGGAGCAAACAGGAUUAGAAACCCCGGUAGUCC